GACGAACGCUGGCGGCGUGCUUAACACAUGCAAGUCGAACGGAGCGAAUGAAAGCUUGCUUUUAUGAGCUUAGUGGCAAACGGGUGAGUAACACGUAGACAACCUGCCGACAGGAUGGGGACAACAUUCCGAAAGGAAUGCUAAUACCGAAUGAAGUCGAGGGAAGGCAUCUUCCUUCGAUGAAAGAUGGCCUCUGAACAUGCUAUCACCUGCCGAUGGGUCUGCGUCUGAUUAGCUGGUUGGUGAGGUAACGGCUCACCAAGGCGACGAUCAGUAGCCGGUCUGAGAGGAUGAACGGCCACAUUGGGACUGAGACACGGCCCAGACUCCUACGGGAGGCAGCAGUGGGGAAUCUUCCGCAAUGGGCGCAAGCCUGACGGAGCAACGCCGCGUGAGUGAAGAAGGUCUUCGGAUCGUAAAGCUCUGUUGACGGGGACGAACGUGCGAGAGGUGAAUAAUCUCUUGUAAUGACGGACCUUCGAGGAGCC
Molecule: ribosomal RNA, 488 nt
Filed under: Selenomonas sp. oral taxon F21
Lineage: Bacteria; Bacillati; Bacillota; Negativicutes; Selenomonadales; Selenomonadaceae
Description: bacterial SSU rRNA
Rfam family: Bacterial small subunit ribosomal RNA
Source: RNAcentral